GAGCUAUCUGCAGCAGGGUCAAGAAGACUGGAGUUUAUACCGCAUCAGUCAGUCGUUGGAUGUAGGCUGUCACAGGAAUGGAGAUGUGACCUUGGGCAAGGGAGCUUUCUGUAGCUGAGGCAAACCUCAAGGGGGGUUAAAGGCUGGAGGGCUAUCUGCUGGCACCCCUCUGGGCAGAUAGAGAAAUAAGUCUUUUAGAUCUCAAAGGGGAUCUGGGUGGCGCAUCAUGGAGUCCACCACAUGACACAUAACUGAACCAUUUCCAAUCUAGCUUCUGGCCCCACGGUCGCUAAUGACUUCCAUGUUCCUUAAGCUAAAGGAAAUUUUUCUUUGUUUUGCUUAAGUAGCUUUUUGUAGAUGUGUCCUCAUACAACACCAGUAGCAGUAGAGGAAAAAUACAGGCUUCUUAAACAGUCUUGCAUUUGAAUGAGAUUGAAGAACUAUGGAGGUCCUUAUUUUGUAAAAGUCAUCACCAUUCAUCAGAUAUGAUAGAAUUACCAACAAGUAUCAUAAAACUCUGCUUUACCCUCCUUGUCUUAACCAAAAGAUUGUGUAUUCUUUCUCACAAUGGAAAAAAAAAGAAGAAGUAAGGUAUCCACUAAGAUAUGAUGAGUUUAUUGAUUUCAUCAAAAAUUCAGGUUACUUCCACUAAGUCUCCACGCCACUGUCC
RNAcentral lists this long non-coding RNA (670 nucleotides) under Equus caballus (horse). RNAcentral describes it as "lncRNA (ENSECAG00000060019.1)". Lineage: Eukaryota; Metazoa; Chordata; Mammalia; Perissodactyla; Equidae. The record is from RNAcentral.